CCUACGGGAGGCAGCAGUAGGGAAUCUUUCACAAUGGGCGAAAGCCUGAUGGAGCAACGCCGCGUGCAGGAUGAAGGCCUUCGGGUUGUAAACUGCUUUUAUAAGCGAGAAAUAUGAUGGUAACUUAUGAAUAAGGAUCGGCUAACUACGUGCCAGCAGCCGCGGUCAUACGUAGGAUCCGAGCAUUAUCCGGAGUGACUGGGUGUAAAGAGUUGCGUAGGUGGCAGGAUAAGUAGCUAGUGAAAUCUGGUGGCUCCACCAUUCAGACUAUUAGCUAAACUGUUAAGCUCGAGACCGUUAGGGGUAACUGGAAUUUCUAGUGUAGGAGUGAAAUCCGUAGAUAUUAGAAGGAACACCAAUAGCGUAGGCAGGUUGCUGGGACGGUUCUGACACUAAGGCACGAAAGCGUAGGGAGCAAACGGGAUUAGAUACCCUUGUAGUC
This 442-nucleotide ribosomal RNA is filed under the name uncultured bacterium. Its description in RNAcentral is "partial 16S ribosomal RNA". It matches the Rfam family "Bacterial small subunit ribosomal RNA", at positions 338 to 795 of the family's 1533-position model. The record is from RNAcentral.